AACGAACGCUGGCGGCAGGCCUAACACAUGCAAGUCGAGCGAGGACUUCGGUCCUAGCGGCGGACGGGUGAGUAACGCGUGGGAACGUGCCCUUUGCUUCGGAAUAGCCCUGGGAAACUGGGAGUAAUACCGGAUGAGCCCUUUGGGGGAAAGAUUUAUCGGCGAAGGAUCGGCCCGCGUUGGAUUAGGUAGUUGGUGGGGUAAUGGCCUACCAAGCCGACGAUCCAUAGCUGGUUUGAGAGGAUGAUCAGCCACACUGGGACUGAGACACGGCCCAGACUCCUACGGGAGGCAGCAGUGGGGAAUCUUAGACAAUGGGGGAAACCCUGAUCGAGCCAUGCCGCGUGAGCGAUGAAGGCCUUAGGGUUGUAAAGCUCUUUAAGCUGGGAAGAUAAUGACGGUACCAGCAGAAGAAGCCCCGGCUAACUCCGUG
RNAcentral lists this ribosomal RNA (433 nucleotides) under uncultured bacterium. RNAcentral's name for it is "partial 16S ribosomal RNA". It matches the Rfam family "Bacterial small subunit ribosomal RNA", at positions 29 to 507 of the family's 1533-position model. The record is from RNAcentral.